RNAcentral lists this ribosomal RNA (422 nucleotides) under uncultured bacterium. RNAcentral's name for it is "bacterial SSU rRNA". It matches the Rfam family "Bacterial small subunit ribosomal RNA", at positions 355 to 774 of the family's 1533-position model. The record is from RNAcentral.
UAAGGAAUAUUGGUCAAUGGACGCAAGUCUGAACCAGCCAUGCCGCGUGAAGGAUUAAGGCCCUCUGGGUUGUAAACUUCUUUUAUAGGGGAAGAAAUGUGACGGUUCUCCGUCACUUGACGGUACCCUGGGAAUAAGCACCGGCUAACUCCGUGCCAGCAGCCGCGGUAAUACGGAGGGUGCAAGCGUUAUCCGGAUUCACUGGGUUUAAAGGGUGCGUAGGUGGGCAGAUAAGUCAGUGGUGAAAUCUUCCGGCUUAACUGCAGAAUUGCCAUUGAUACUGUUAGUCUUGAGUACAGUUGAGGUAGGCGGAAUGUGUCAUGUAGCGGUGAAAUGCUUAGAUAUGACACAGAACACCGAUUGCGAAGGCAGCUUACUACAUAUAAAUUGACGCUGAGGCACGAAAGCGUGGGGAUCAAACA